Molecule: ribosomal RNA, 254 nt
Filed under: uncultured bacterium
Lineage: Bacteria
Description: partial 16S ribosomal RNA
Rfam family: Bacterial small subunit ribosomal RNA
Source: RNAcentral
UACGUAGGGUCCGAGCGUUAUCCGGAAUUAUUGGGCGUAAAGAGCUCGUAGGCGGUUUGUUGCGUCGGCUGUGAAAUCCCGAGGCUCAACCUCGGGUCUGCAGUCGAUACGAGCAAACUAGAGUGUUGCAGGGGAGACUGGAAUUCCUGGUGUAGCGGUGAAAUGCGCAGAUAUCAGGAGGAACACCGGUGGCGAAGGCGGGUCUCUGGGCAACAACUGACGCUGGAGGAGCGAAAGCGUGGGGAGCGAACAGG